Molecule: long non-coding RNA, 277 nt
Organism: Contarinia nasturtii (swede midge)
Lineage: Eukaryota; Metazoa; Arthropoda; Insecta; Diptera; Cecidomyiidae
Exons: 3
Source: RefSeq, a predicted model, not a curated record
UACACCGAAAAAUAACCUUACAACAUCAACGCCAGAUUCAUACCAAAAUCACUUUGUCAAAUUUGUUGGGGAUCAUACAGAGAAAAUGCGAUCCAACAAAGAUUCAAAUCAACCAGUAGGAGUUAUUUGGGUCAAUGAACAAAUAAUGGUUUCGAAUCAUAACACAAAGGAUUCUGCUCAAAGUACCGGAUUUUCUGAAAACAACGUGAAUUUCGUAUAUGGAUGCAGGGACCAGCUGAAAAAAUGUGCGGCUGCAAAUAAAAAAUUACCGGUUAUU